AGCCAACCUUGAAAUACCACCCUGAUUUAUUUGAGGUUCUAACCUUGAUCCGUGAAUCCGGAUCGGGGACCGUGCAUGGUGGGCAGUUUGACUGGGGCGGUCUCCUCCCAAAAGGUAACGGAGGAGUACGAAGGUACGCUUAGGGCGGUCGGACAUCGCCCAUAAAGUGCAAUGGCAAAAGCGUGCUUGACUGCGAGACCCACAAGUCGAGCAGGUGCGAAAGCAGGUCAUAGUGAUCCGGUGGUUCUGUAUGGAAGGGCCAUCGCUCAACGGAUAAAAGGUACUCUGGGGAUAACAGGCUGAUACCGCCCAAGAGUUCAUAUCGACGGCGGUGUUUGGCACCUCGAUGUCGGCUCAUCUCAUCCUGGGGCUGUAGCCGGUCCCAAGGGUAUGGCUGUUCGCCAUUUAAAGAGGUACGUGAGCUGGGUUUAAAACGUCGUGAGACAGUUGGUCCCUAUCUGCCGUGGGCGCUGGAAUUUGAAGGGGCUGCUCCUAGUACGAGAGGA
Molecule: ribosomal RNA, 506 nt
Filed under: uncultured bacterium
Lineage: Bacteria
Description: bacterial LSU rRNA
Rfam family: Bacterial large subunit ribosomal RNA
Source: RNAcentral